This 40-nucleotide ribosomal RNA is filed under the name Porites lobata. RNAcentral describes it as "partial 28S ribosomal RNA". The record is from RNAcentral. Lineage: Eukaryota; Metazoa; Cnidaria; Anthozoa; Scleractinia; Poritidae.
UCUUGACCUCAGAUCAGGCAAGGCUACCCGCUGAAUUUAG